This 107-nucleotide small nuclear RNA is filed under the name Dasypus novemcinctus (nine-banded armadillo). The record is from RNAcentral. Lineage: Eukaryota; Metazoa; Chordata; Mammalia; Cingulata; Dasypodidae.
GUGCUUGCUUCAGUGGCACAUAUAGUAAAAUUGGAAUGGUACAGAGAAGAUUAACAUGGCCCCUGCACAAGGAUGAUGUGAAAAUUCAUGAAGGGUUCCACAUUUUU